UCCGAGAAAAUAGAUUGUUAUUAUAUUUGAAAAAAUGAGACCCCAAAACACCACCAGCGCACAAGACAGCUUUUUUUUUAAACACUACAUUCAUUCAAACCUACAAGGAUGAGAUACAAAGCCAGCAGCACACAUCAGUGUCUCUGGAAACAAAGCUGGACGAACCAAAUGUUUCCCAGAAACUAAAGCCCUAACAAAGGAAACGACAAGAACAACACCUAAUCAAACUAGAAGAAGUGUGUAAACAUAUCAAAAUAAACCUUCACCAAAAGUGAACAAUAAAACAUGAUGAUUAACAAAGCUUCUUUGAACAAGGCAAAGCGAGGCAGCCAUUCUUGGAUAAACCUCCGGUUUACGAUUCCUCCUAUGCUAAAUAACACAUGCAAAUGAAAGGCCAAAGCUUCAAGCUCCAGGAGACCGAACACGUUAUGUUCAUGAGUCAAAAACGAUGGCGCAGAAGGAUAGAAACGCCAAUCGAAGCCAAACGGAAGAAAAGAUCUCGAUCGGAUCUUGAGGUUAAUGACAAGGAGUGAAACAACUCAGAGCCAGGAACAACCAAGCUCAAAAGACUGAGAGAGUUGAAGAUCGAGACCUGGUAUGAGCCAAAAAAGCUUAAAAUCGACAUGCAAUUCAAUCAAGCCACAUACAAAGUUCUUAGACAGAACCAGAUCUGAAAGAUACAAGUAUCCAACUCACUUCGACUAGAAAGAUCAACCAAAAGAGAAAGAUAAGAGAACAAAAGAAAAGAAACAGAUCGGCCCCGGCGCUAAGGAAGCAACCGGAGCCGGUAAACCGGCAAAAUCAAGCGAAAAUUUUUAAAGAAAUGGCAGAGGAAAAGUUGAUUCUCCGGGAGUCAAAGGGCCCCUUAUUGCGCACAAGACAGCUUUACUCCACUUCUUUCUCUGGGGAAGAAAAAUCUACUUGAAAAAAAAUCAUUCACAUAUCUUUUGUUAUUACCAACAACAUCAUCAAAAUGUUAUUUUAUUUAUUACAUCACAUUCCUUAGGAUUCAGUUCUGUAAAAGUCACAUGAUCCAACUUCUAUUCUGAUAUUUUGCUUACUCUCUUGGAAAUCAUUACCAUUGUGAGGAACUGUCUUUUUUUUUUUUUUUGCUCACUUUUAUUAAAAGCAUGCUAAAAAUAUUACAGUAGACACGCU
Molecule: long non-coding RNA, 1158 nt
Filed under: Brassica napus (rape)
Lineage: Eukaryota; Viridiplantae; Streptophyta; Magnoliopsida; Brassicales; Brassicaceae
Description: long non-coding RNA (BNAP_LNC014832)
Source: RNAcentral